This 496-nucleotide ribosomal RNA is filed under the name uncultured bacterium. RNAcentral's name for it is "partial 16S ribosomal RNA". It matches the Rfam family "Bacterial small subunit ribosomal RNA", at positions 28 to 507 of the family's 1533-position model. The record is from RNAcentral.
GAUGAACGCUGGCGGCGUGCCUAAUACAUGCAAGUCGAGCGAACAGACGAGGAGCUUGCUCCUUUGACGUUAGCGGCGGACGGGUGAGUAACACGUAGGUAACCUACCUAUAAGACUGGGUAACCUUGGGAAACCGGAGCUAAUAACGGGUAAUAUUUCGAACCGCCUGGUUUGGUAGGGAAAGAUGGCUUUGCUAUCACCUAUAGAUGGACCUGCGCCGUAUUAGCUAGUUGGUAAGGUAACGGCUUACCAAGGGAACGAUACGUAGCCGACCUGAGAGGGUGAUCGGCCACACUGGAACUGAGACACGGUCCAGACUCCUACGGGAGGCAGCAGUAGGGAAUCUUCCGCAAUGGGCGAAAGCCUGACGGAGCAACGCCGCGUGAGUGAUGAAGGUCUUCGGAUCGUAAAACUCUGUUAUUAGGGAAGAACAAACGUGUAAGUAACUGUGCACGUCUUGACGGUACCUAAUCAGAAAGCCACGGCUAACUACGUG